Molecule: ribosomal RNA, 494 nt
Filed under: Peptostreptococcus sp. canine oral taxon 033
Lineage: Bacteria; Bacillati; Bacillota; Clostridia; Peptostreptococcales; Peptostreptococcaceae
Description: bacterial SSU rRNA
Rfam family: Bacterial small subunit ribosomal RNA
Source: RNAcentral
GAGUUUGAUCAUGGCUCAGGAUGAACGCUGGCGGCGUGCCUAACACAUGCAAGUCGAGCGCGGUUGUGCUUAGUAUUGAGUGUUUUAUUGAUAUAAAACAUUGAAUUCUAUGCACAACUGAGCGGCGGACGGGUGAGUAACGCGUGGGUAACCUGCCCUAUACACAUGGAUAACAUACUGAAAAGUUUACUAAUACAUGAUAAAAUAGUUUUUCGGCAUCGAAGAAUUAUCAAAGUGUUAGCGGUAUAGGAUGGACCCGCGUCUGAUUAGCUAGUUGGUGAGAUAACUGCCCACCAAGGCGACGAUCAGUAGCCGACCUGAGAGGGUGAUCGGCCACAUUGGAACUGAGACACGGUCCAAACUCCUACGGGAGGCAGCAGUGGGGAAUAUUGCACAAUGGGCGCAAGCCUGAUGCAGCAACGCCGCGUGAACGAUGAAGGUCUUCGGAUCGUAAAGUUCUGUUGCAGGGGAAGAUAAUGACGUACCCUNGAGCC